Molecule: long non-coding RNA, 2795 nt
Organism: Arachis duranensis
Lineage: Eukaryota; Viridiplantae; Streptophyta; Magnoliopsida; Fabales; Fabaceae
Exons: 12
Source: RefSeq, a predicted model, not a curated record
AACGGCGGUAUUGUAAACACGUUACAUUACAUUCUGCCUUCUAAUCUUCUCCCCCUGUCCGUGCGUUUCACUUCAACCCGUCCCCUUCUCUUUCUCCUUGAAAACCCUAAAUUCCAUCCUCCUCUUCGUUCUUUCCUCGAUGACCCACUCCAUUCUUGUGGUCGAUAUCAUCACUGGCUAUUGACGCUUCGUUUGCCUCUCUCACCGAGUAGUUUGAUACCCCAGUUCCCGAAGAACAUCUCUCUGAACCCCGAUUUGAAAACUCUAACCAACCGAGGUAGGCGAAUUAUUCGUCUGGGAGAACGGUUCUGGCGUUGGCGGCGGUGAUGGUGAGUUUCAGCCAGGGAGAUGCUCGCGAUGAUGAUCCACUACGAUCUCUGUUGUGGGCUUAAUACGCUCAGGGAAGUGAACAGCUUUGGUAAUUCAUGUUCGGUUGAGAUCUCAACCAUAGCUGUCCUCGUGGAGUUUCUUCGUUGUUGGAACCAGAAAAACAGAGGUAUUCACAAACAGAACCUGAUCGAAAGGGCUGAAACCAGAUCAAGCUGAGGAUUCUCAUAGCUGUGUGCAUUGAGUUGGUUUAUCAGGUUGGAAUAUGUGGAGAGCAUGGUGGGAGCCAUCUUCUAUUGCAUUCUUUGCUCAAAUUGGUCUUGAUUAUGUCUCAUACUCUCCUUUUAGGUUAGAUUUGUAAGCUUACAUAUAAGUUAGAGUUUUAAAUGUUCAACUAUUAAACUCAAAUUUGAAGACUCUUGCAGGGUUCUAAUUGAAAGGCUUGCAUACACCUCAAGUUGUAGUUUAGGAAAUUUGUUAAUCUGGUGUAAGAGGGAUGAAUGACUAGCUUCCGGUUCUUUUACUGCUCUAUUGUUACAGCUCCUUUUAGUCCUUAAUUGCUUUGUUACAUUCUUGCUUUCAGUCAUUUCUGUUUUAUGUGAGCAUUUGUUGUGGAGCUUCUGUUCACUAUGUUUUUUGUAUUUUUUUAAGUGCUUUUAUUACUUUAUAGUUUUUGUUACAAAUUGAUGCUGAAAGCUUGCAAAGAAUUUGGCCUAAUUUUACUAUAUUCAAGUAUUGUUAGUUAAGUUGGAUCAGAUAAUUAGUGAUAUUCUGGAUUCUAUUUCUUCAAAUAAUAUUCUGGCUUUAUUUACAAAAUGCGAAUUUAAAUUUGGCUUUAUUAACAAACUUACGGUGGUUUCUUUUUAUUUGGUCAAUUUAGACUUCAACUCUAAAUCUAAUAACUUAUUCUUCAUUCAUAUGUGUCUAUAUUUUAGGUUGUUGUCUACGCUGCUAUGAGCUUCAAUUUAGAUCUUUCUUUGUGGUUUCUAAUUGAAAUGAUUGGUUGUUAUUCUUGGUCUAAUAUAAGAUAAGGUUAUCAACACUCAUAGGUAGGAAGCUUAUUGGGAGGCUCCUCAAAAUCUUUUCUUACCAUGAUAGGUAUAUCCAUGAUGAGGAAGGAAGUUGAGAACGAUGAGUCUGUAAAAAAAUCUUCAUCUCUUAGAAAAAUACCAGUGGUAUCUUUUGGCCGUGAUCUUCAACUUCCUGUACAUGUUAGUUGGAGAUGAUCUCUUGAUGACUAAUGCAAAACGCAUUGAGAGAGCAGUACUAGAGUAUGCAUGUAAUGCUCUUUUUCUUAAGAGCAAAGUCCAAAAACAGCCAAUUAGACAGAACCCAGAAGUUACUCUUUCCUGUGAUGUACGCUGUAAGAUUGUAGGAAGAAGUGAAGUACCCAAUGUCUAGAUAAGCAAUGAACAAACCACUGCGGCUGCAACGCUUUCCUUCAUUCAAACUUCAAUUUCAUGGCGUGAUGGAUGACGGUUUGCUUUUGAUGGUCCGCUCUGGUUUUGUAGUGGCGGCGGUGCCACUGCUAGUAGGCAGAAUGAUUCAGUUAGAGACGAGUUAAUAAAUGCAGCAGCAUAUGGGGAGCAAAUUGAUAGGAUUGCCAACUUAUUGAUUCUUAGCUCUUGGCUUGGGAGAAAAGGCUUUUUGGGCAAGUUUGCUGGGACUAAGAAAAGAAUGAGUGUCUUCAAAGGCAAUGGGAAAGAUGGAAAGUGAAAAGGUGUCAAAAGACCCUAAUAAACGAAAGAAGCAACUGAGUGGUUUCUUUGUUUAGUCCGAAAGGUGUGCUCUCAACAGAAAGUCUAUUCAUGCUGUGAGAGACAAGUUAAAUGAAUUAGAUCAUUCUAAAAAUUCAUGUGAUGAAGUUGAUGAAAGUUAGGAGGUGAGUAAUGUUAAAUUAUUUUUCUAAAAGGGUAUUAACUUUUAUUUUUGGAUUUGUUUGACUAUGGCUAUUUGUAAUUAUCUCUAUAAUUUGGUUUCAAUUUUCAUACAUUUUUUUAAAUUAGGAGUAUGUGAUUGGUCUUAAACAAUGCUCUGUUGAGAAAAGAGGAGCAUCUUUCCUUGGAAGAGGUUGAUAAGAUCCUUGAUGCUGGAAUUUGAUGAGUCUCAUGGCUCUGGAGAUGAGUCUGCGUGUUAAAUGAGAUGACUGCCCAUGCCAGUUAACUAGAGCUACUGAUUAGGACUAACAGGGCAUUAGAUAUUUUGGUUGUGUCCAUGUAAGCAUUUCAUAUUUUGGGUUGUGAUGUAGGAGAUGUGUGGAUUAAAAUGUUUUUAUCUUCUGUAUGGAAUGCUUUGUGCAUUUGUAUUGGGCUUAUUUCAAAUGUAAUUAAUAGUGUUAGGAUGUGGAGUGUGGACACAAUAUCAUUAACCGCUAGGCAAAUUAAUUGUGCAGUCCUUUAUGUUGUAGUUCAGUUAUUUCUUUGAAAUUCAAUAAAGUGAAGUACCUCCUUUAUGAUGUUAAAAUCUCA